GACAUGUAGCCAGGCCAAGGGUGCGUAGACACUGAAUUCAAAUUCCCUCAGCUGCAGUGUUUAGUUUUAGCCCACAAACCCUCAGAGCCAUCCAGCAAGCUCCGCAUGAGACAGAAGUAAGACGGAUCUUUAGCCAGCCCCUGCCCACCUUAAAUCGUCUGUGCCGUCUGGGCACACUUGUCUAUUUCACAUUAAAGGGCUUCUGGAGACUUAUUGAUGAGAGACAUUUACCAGAGGCUAACUGAGGCCUGGGAGAAAUUUCAUCAAGCGAUUUCCUCACCAAAUCUUGUACCACAACACCGGGGUUCUCUCAUGAAGAAACUCAAAAAAAACCAACCAAUCAACGUUCAUGGAUGACAACCUUAUUUGACCAACGGAUUGAAGAAUAUCAAGCUGGAGCACUGAAAAUGCAUUGCCAUCGAUUUCCUUAAGCCGCAAGCCUCAGACACGACCCAGCAAAAUCUACCAGCCUGACAAGCGAGGCUCAGCAGGAGAGUAUAAUCAACAAGAAGUAAUAGAUACCAGGGCACCUGCCCCAACCGUAUGAAGACAUCGGCUGUCCCAACCCCCAGAGCAAUCCUCCAGAGAGCGGUUGAUUAGAGAGAGUCCCUGCCACAGUCUGAAUCUAAUUUCCUUCCAACCUACACAGAUCCUACAUGGAUUCGAUGCCUAUUGUUUCCAGGUUACUAGGAGUAGACGUGUUGAAGUAAAGCUGCUGAAAAUUUA
Molecule: long non-coding RNA, 726 nt
Organism: Ornithorhynchus anatinus (platypus)
Lineage: Eukaryota; Metazoa; Chordata; Mammalia; Monotremata; Ornithorhynchidae
Exons: 3
Source: RefSeq, a predicted model, not a curated record